Molecule: ribosomal RNA, 216 nt
Filed under: Candida tropicalis
Lineage: Eukaryota; Fungi; Ascomycota; Pichiomycetes; Serinales; Debaryomycetaceae
Description: partial large subunit ribosomal RNA
Rfam family: Eukaryotic large subunit ribosomal RNA
Source: RNAcentral
CAAAUCAGGUAGGGCUACCCGCUGAACUUAAGCAUAUCAAUAAGCGGAGGAAAAGAAACUAAAUUAUAGACAAGGAUUCCCUUAGUAACGGCGAGCGAACCGGGAAGAGCUCAAAUUUGAAAUCUGGCGUCCUCAGGGCGUCCGAGUUGUAAUCUAUAGAGGCGUUUUCCGUGCCGGACCGUGUCCAAGUCCCUUGGAACAGGGUAUCAAAGAGGG